Molecule: ribosomal RNA, 484 nt
Filed under: uncultured bacterium
Lineage: Bacteria
Description: partial 16S ribosomal RNA
Rfam family: Bacterial small subunit ribosomal RNA
Source: RNAcentral
AUUGAACGCUGGCGGCAGGCCUAACACAUGCAAGUCGAGCGGAUGAAGGGAGCUUGCUCCUGGAUUCAGCGGCGGACGGGUGAGUAAUGCCUAGGAAUCUGCCUGGUAGUGGGGGAUAACGUCCGGAAACGGGCGCUAAUACCGCAUACGUCCUGAGGGAGAAAGUGGGGGAUCUUCGGACCUCACGCUAUCAGAUGAGCCUAGGUCGGAUUAGCUAGUUGGUGAGGUAAAGGCCUACCAAGGCGACGAUCCGUAACUGGUCUGAGAGGAUGAUCAGUCACACUGGGACUGAGACACGGUCCAGACUCCUACGGGAGGCAGCAGUGGGGAAUAUUGGACAAUGGGCGAAAGCCUGAUCCAGCCAUGCCGCGUGUGUGAAGAAGGUCUUCGGAUUGUAAAGCACUUUAAGUUGGGAGGAAGGGCAGUAAGUUAAUACCUUGCUGUUUUGACGUUACCAACAGAAUAAGCACCGGCUAACUUCGUG